GAUUUCUGGUGAAGCGCGCUUGGUCCGCCGCGGUUACGCGUGUGAGUGCCGAUGUGCGCUUGCCAUCCUUCUCGGUAACGGCUCUACCCCUCACGGGGCCGGAGUUCGGGACGAGAUCUUUUACUUUGAAAAAAUUAGAGUGUUUAAAGCAGGCUUGUGCUCUGAAUACAUUAGCAUGGAAUAAUAAUUUAGGACUUUUGUCUUAUUUUGUUGGUUUCUAGGACGAAACGUAAUGAUUGAUAGGGAUAGUUGGGGGUGCUAGUAUUCAGGGGCCAGAGGUGAAAUUCUUGGAUUCCCUGAAGACUAACUUAUGCGAAAGCAUU
RNAcentral lists this ribosomal RNA (323 nucleotides) under Cercomonas sp. RNAcentral's name for it is "SSU rRNA". The stretch from base 107 to 323 matches the Rfam family "Eukaryotic small subunit ribosomal RNA", at positions 738 to 955 of the family's 1831-position model. The record is from RNAcentral. RNAcentral also lists the same sequence under 2 other names. Lineage: Eukaryota; Cercozoa; Cercomonadida; Cercomonadidae.